CCUCUUGUGAAGGCUUAAGGGAGGACGGGAGCGACACACCUGGUUUAAACACUGCAGACAUCAUCCACACAGACUGUCAGACACAAACUCUGCUCUGUUUAGACUUUGUUCUGAUUUGUUUUUGUCAUCAUUUUUCUUUUUAGUUGAGGGAAAAUGUGUCAAAAUAUCAGAAUCAAAUCAGAGCAAUUGUCUUUCCUCUCAGCUUGAUGCCUGCAGGUUUCUCUUGUUGUUUAUCUCAACUGAACCUCUUCUUGAUACCUGAGCCUUCAGUUUUUCCCAGUUUCAUCCUGAGUAUUUACGUUAGUUUGUGUCACGCAGCCUCGCGCCUGUUUCCAGACAGCUGGGGGGAAAAAGAUGCAUUCACACCAGACAAGCCAAUCAUUCUGUAUGGAGGGAGAAACACACCUGCUUUGAGACAUUAUGGAAGACUCGGAUAGUAACGAGGUGUUCAGAAAUGCCCAAAAACCCGAACUUUUUAAGAAGGUGGCUGAAGGAAUUAAAGAGGGAGGCAGUGAGAAGCAUCUCAUCCAGCAGCAGAGUGUAAACACAACCCUUCUCUGAAAUCUGAACAUGAAAACAUCUACGAGUGUCUGGUGCGAUGAUCUGCACGUCGUUAAGUUCCCGCUGAGGUUUCCAACAACAAAUACAGAACAGAUCAGAAGAUGUUUGUCUGCAAAAACACAUACAUUAAAAACCAAAAACACACAUGUGGCCUGAACAUAUUUUUGUUAGGAGCCACAACUGUCGUCUCUGAGGUCGGUUAGGAAACUUAAAACAGCGGCGAGGUGAAGAGGUUUCCGUUUGUUCGCGGCUCUGCGGCUCCUCGAGGCCCCUGACCUCCAGUUGAGGUAACGGGAGUCAUCGCGAGAGGAAUUCAGCCUCGUUCUGCAGAGUGAGAGAUUAAAAACACAUUCUGAUAAGA
This is a long non-coding RNA of Acanthopagrus latus (yellowfin seabream), 922 nucleotides long. RefSeq lists it as uncharacterized. The record is from RefSeq and is a predicted model, not a curated record. The transcript is spliced from 2 exons. NCBI's taxonomy places the organism in Eukaryota, Metazoa, Chordata, Actinopteri, Spariformes, Sparidae.